CCCGGCCCUGAGUGCGCGCGCGCCUGGGGCCACCCUCCCGGGACCGGAUCCUUGGACCUGAGGAAGCUGCGCGCUGCAGAGUGCCUUGUGCUCCCAUGAUUUUCGUUGGGCCCGGUGAAUUUCCCAGUGUCGGCCUUUGGUGGAGAGCUGCCAGCCGUGCAGAGAAACUGCUGAGGGUUUUGCCGAGAAAGCAGAAUUUUGGUGGUGGAGUGUGACAUUCUCCUCUCAGAAAUAAUACCUUUCAUUUAAGGUGAGGAAGAAAAACAGCAAAGGACCAGCCCCCAGCUUAGCCAUGCGCCUGGGCAGAGCACAUGGGGGCUGAGUACGCCCUGCUCAGUCCAGCUCACUCUGCCCAUUUGCGACCAGGAGACCAAACCAGGCACCUGCAACAACAGCCCCCGCCCCCAACCCUGCCUCUUGGCUCUACAGCUACUUGGAUCCACACUACAGAGGCACAGUGGAGCAUAAAGGCCAUUGUCCUGAGCUGCAGAAGUGAACAACAGAGAGAGGGCCUCUCUCAGGCU
Non-coding RNA from Heterocephalus glaber (naked mole-rat), 524 nucleotides. The record is from RefSeq and is a predicted model, not a curated record. NCBI's taxonomy places the organism in Eukaryota, Metazoa, Chordata, Mammalia, Rodentia, Bathyergidae.